Molecule: ribosomal RNA, 465 nt
Filed under: uncultured bacterium
Lineage: Bacteria
Description: partial 16S ribosomal RNA
Rfam family: Bacterial small subunit ribosomal RNA
Source: RNAcentral
CCUACGGGCGGCAGCAGUAGGGAAUCUUCCACAAUGGGCGAAAGCCUGAUGGAGCAAAGCCGCGUGGGUGAAGAAGGCCUUCGGAUCGUAAAACCCUGUUGUUAGAGAAGCAAGUGCGUGAGCGUAACUGUUCACGUUUCGACGGUAUCUAACCAGAAAGCCACGGCUAACUACGUGCCAGCAGCCGCGGUAAUACGUAGGUGGCAAGCGUUAACCGGAUUUAUUGGGCGUAAAGGGAACGCAGGCGGUCUGUUAAGUCUGAUGUGAAAGCCGUCGGCUUAACCGGAGUAGUGCAUUGGAAACUGGGAGACUUGAGUGCAGGAGAGGAGAGUGGAACUCGAGGUGUAGCGGUGAAAUGCGUAGAUAUAUGGAAGAACACCAGUGGCGAAGGCGGCUCUCUGGUCUGUAACUGACGCUGAGGUUCGAAAGCGUGGGUAGCAAACAGGAUUAGAUACCCUUGUAGUC